CACAACUACUAUAGAACCCUUCCUUAACCCCACGCAUUCCGAAGUUUCUUGCAAAAACACAACACUCACACACCAUGACUGCAAAUUCUACAUUGUAAAAUAGCAGGAUGAUUCUUCUACCUUAUCGCAGACUUGUACUAAACAACUCUAAUAACUUUGCCAUGGGCUCCAAAUAUUUUCUCCACAAGCCAUCCAUUACCAUACACAAGACUAUUAUUCCUGUCCUUUCUUCAAAAACCCACCCUUUUCAAAACCAAAGACUCAUCUUUUCAACAUUUGCUUCAAAACCCAUCUCCCCAAUUCGUGGAACUUCAAACUUGUCUUACAGGCCCCACCGUAUUCCCCCACCAGUUUCUGGAGUAGUUCUGGAAGACCCAGUGGAGGGAAUUGCAGAGUCAGAACAUGUGAAGGCACUGAAGGAGAAAUUAAGCCAGAUUGGAAUAGAUAUUGGUUCUUGUGGACCAGGGCAAUACUCUGGUUUGCUUUGUCCAAUGUGCACAGGUGGGGAUUCAAAUGAAAAGAGCUUAUCUCUCUUCAUUACUCAGGAUGGGCAUGCAGCUACAUGGACAUGCUUUCGAGCUAAAUGUGGGUGGAGAGGUGGUACCCGGGCCUUUGCAGAUGUGAAGACAGCUUUUGCAGAUAUGAAAAGGAUUGGAAAAGUGACUAAGAAGUACAGACAGAUAACUGAGGAGAGUUUGGGGCUGGAAUCUUUAUGUGAUGUGUUACUCUCAUACUUCUCUGAGCGAAUGAUAUCAAGAGAAACAUUGCGGAGAAAUGCGGUAAUGCAACGGAGAUACGGUGAUCAGAUUGUAAUUGCAUUUACAUAUCGGAGGGAUGGAGCACUUGUAAGCUGCAAGUACCGGGACAUCACCAAAAAGUUUUGGCAGGAAGCUGAUACAUUAAAGAUAUUUUAUGGUCUAGACGAUAUAAAAGGAGCAAGUGAUAUCAUCAUUGUUGAGGGUGAGAUGGACAAGCUUGCUAUGGAAGAAGCUGGCUUUCGGAACUGUGUGAGCGUUCCCGAUGGGGCACCUCCAGUUAUUUCAGAUAAAGAGUUGCCACCUGUAGAUAAGGACACAAAGUAUCAGUAUCUUUGGAACUGCAAAGAGUAUUUAGAAAAGGCAUCUCGCAUAAUACUGGCAACUGAUGGGGAUCCACCUGGUCAAGCUUUAGCUGAAGAACUUGCCCGCCGCUUGGGGCGAGAAAGGUGUUGGCGAGUCACAUGGCCGAAAAAGAGCACUGUAGACCGUUUCAAAGAUGCAAAUGAGGUACUUAUGUAUCUGGGGCCUGGUGCACUGAGGGAGGUUAUUGAAGGUGCUGAGCUAUACCCAAUACAAGGGUUAUUCAACUUUAAAGAUUACUUCACUGAGAUUGAAGCAUAUUAUCACCAAACAAUUGGCUACGAGCUUGGGGUUUCAACUGGAUGGAGGUCUUUAAAUCAACUAUACAAUGUUGUGCCUGGAGAGUUGACUAUUGUUACAGGAGUCCCAAAUUCGGGGAAGAGUGAAUGGAUUGAUGCUCUUUUGUGCAAUCUCAAUCAGAGUGUUGGCUGGAAAUUUGCACUUUGCUCUAUGGAAAAUAAGGUGCGGGACCAUGCUAGGAAACUUUUGGAGAAACACAUAAAGAAACCAUUCUUUGAUGUGAGAUAUGGGGAAUCUGUUCAACGGAUGAGUGCUCAGGAGUUUGAAGAGGGAAAGCAAUGGCUCAGUGAUACUUUUUUCCUCAUAAGGUGUGAGAAUGAUUGCCUACCGAAUAUUGACUGGGUUCUGUCACUUGCAAAAGCUGCAGUUUUAAGACAUGGGGUGAAUGGACUCGUAAUUGAUCCAUACAAUGAGCUUGAUCAUCAACGUCCUUCAAGCCAGACAACAAAAUGUGUUGCUCAACUUUAAGAUGCAUUGGGUGAAUUCCUACCUUCUCUCUGCAUUUUCCCUUUUUACCUCUGCUAUAUUCUUUUGCUACUACUCUUAUUCUUUUUCUCAUAGUGCUUCCAUCUGAUGCUGCAUUUAGAAGCAAUCUUUUAUUAGUCCUUCAUUCUGCUGAAGGGUCUUAUCUAACAGAGUUCCAAGAAGGAAAGGUGAAAUUCUAAGAAGUUACAUGGAUCCUUGUCUUGCUGCGCUUCAAAAUUCAGAUAAUGGGUUCUUUGAAUUUUGAAAUGCAGGAGAGAAUCACAUGGCUGCAAGUGGAAGAAGGGAAUCUUUCCUCUCAUAUUAUUGAGUGUGUAAAUGGCAGAUUCUUAAACGUUAGAUCUAGAAAGGUCUAAUCACUGUAACUUUGUGAUUAGGAGAAAUAUAGUGUUCUUGCACACUCUAUUUUAAUGAUUGGGAAAUUGAUAGUUAUACAAUGAUGCUUCAACUUCUCUAUGAUCUCCCACCCUUUGGCUCUAACCCGGAUCACUUAAAAUGGAACUUGCAUUCCAAAGGUGUCUUCGCCGUUAAAAGCUGCUACUAUUCUUUCUCUAGCUCUUCAGCUUCUCCCAUUGUCUGGCCUUGGAAAACAAUUUGGAGGAACAAGGCCCCAUAUAAAGUGAAAUGUUUCACUUGGAUAAUGGCAAACGGCAAAUGUCUCACCUUAGACAACUUGCAGAAGAGAGGCUUCCAGUUGUGUAACCGAUGCGUCCUCUGCAAAGAAAAUGAGGAAGAUGUUUAUCACCUCUUCCUUCACUGCAAAGUUUCCCGUCAUCUCUGGAAUCUGGUUUUCAACAUCCUAGGACUGAAACAGAGUAUGUUAGCCAGAUGCUGACAAAGAUCAAACGGUUUGCGCAACACCAUUCCUGUCAUGUUUGGUUUGUUGCAC
This is an RNA transcript of Nicotiana attenuata, 2790 nucleotides long. It is a transcript of the gene named twinkle homolog protein, chloroplastic/mitochondrial, with no coding region annotated. Lineage: Eukaryota; Viridiplantae; Streptophyta; Magnoliopsida; Solanales; Solanaceae. The transcript is spliced from 19 exons. The record is from RefSeq and is a predicted model, not a curated record.